Molecule: ribosomal RNA, 1019 nt
Filed under: uncultured bacterium
Lineage: Bacteria
Description: bacterial SSU rRNA
Rfam family: Bacterial small subunit ribosomal RNA
Source: RNAcentral
ACCCGCCCAGACUCCUACGGAGGCAGCAGUGGGGAAUAUUGCACAAUGGGGAAACCUGAUGCAGCGACGCCGCGUGAGGGAUGACGGCCUUCGGGUGUAAACCUCUUUCAGUAGGGAAGAAGCCUUUCGGGGUGACGGUACCUGCAGAAGAAGUACCGGCUAACUACGUGCCAGCAGCCGCGGUAAUACGUAGGGUACAAGCGUUGUCCGGAAUUAUUGGGCGUAAAGAGCUCGUAGGCGGUCCGUCGCGUCUGCUGUGGAAACGCAAGGCUCAACCUUGCGCGUGCAGUGGGUACGGGCGGACUAGAGUGCAGUAGGGGAGUCUGGAAUUCCUGGUGUAGCGGUGAAAUGCGCAGAUAUCAGGAGGAACACCGGUGGCGAAGGCGGGACUCUGGGCUGUUACUGACGCUGAGGAGCGAAAGCAUGGGGAGCGAACAGGAUUAGAUACCCUGGUAGUCCAUGCCGUAAACGUUGGGCACUAGGUGUGGGGCUCAUUCCACGAGUUCCGCGCCGCAGCUAACGCAUUAAGUGCCCCGCCUGGGGAGUACGGCCGCAAGGCUAAAACUCAAAGGAAUUGACGGGGGCCCGCACAAGCGGCGGAGCAUGCGGAUUAAUUCGAUGCAACGCGAAGAACCUUACCAAGGCUUGACAUACACCGGAAUGUGCCAGAGAUGGUUCAGCCCUUUGGGCUGGUGUACAGGUGGUGCAUGGUUGUCGUCAGCUCGUGUCGUGAGAUGUUGGGUUAAGUCCCGCAACGAGCGCAACCCUCGUUCUAUGUUGCCAGCACGUGAUGGUGGGAACUCAUAGGAGACUGCCGGGGUCAACUCGGAGGAAGGUGGGGAUGACGUCAAAUCAUCAUGCCCUUUAUGUCUUGGGCUUCACGCAUGCUACAAUGGUCGGUACAAAGGGUUGCGAGACCGUGAGGUGGAGCGAAUCCCAGAAAGCCGAUCUCAGUUCGGAUCGUAGUCUGCAACUCGACUACGUGAAGUCGGAGUCGCUAGUAAUCGCAGAUCAGCACG